AAAGAAUAAUUCUUCUUGAAGUUUGAUGGCUUUUCAUUAUAAUACAGUAUUUUAUUUUAUUCCGUGAGUUAAACCCUCGUUUACCAAGAAAAGUCGAGGAAGCAGAGUUCCAAAGAAAGGGAUCUGCCCGUCGGUGAGGCAUUUGGUCGACGGCCUCUGUCUCUCCAUACGGAUAUACAUACAUAUAUGUAUUAUAGGAGUUUUCAUUGGUAAGAAGGACUUGCACAAUGGCCAACCAGAAGUCCAGAGUAUCUGUAUAUCUUUAUAUUCCCAAUAUCAUUGGAUAUGCAAGAAUUCUUCUGAACUGCGUUGCCUUCUACAUUAGCUAUUCAGACAAAAAGCUUUUCUCAGUUCUCUAUUUUAUAAGCUUUGUCUGUGAUGCCUUGGAUGGGUGGUUUGCUCGGAAAUUCAAUCAAGUUUCAACUUUUGGAGCUGUUCUGGACAUGGUCACAGAUAGGAUUAGCACUGCUUGUCUACUGGUGAUUCUCUCUCAAAUAUAUAGGCCUGGCUUAGUUUUCUUGUCAUUGUUUGCUCUGGAUAUUGCCAGCCAUUGGUUGCAGAUGUACAGUACCUUCUUGGUAGGCAAAGUUAGUCAUAAAGAUGUAAAAGACAGCAAUAAUUGGCUAUUCAAGGCAUACUACGGCAAUCGGAUGUUUAUGGGUUACUGUUGUGUUGCUUGUGAGGUUCUUUACAUAAUCCUAUUUCUUCUUGCAAAGAACCAGAAUGAGAAUCUGACUAAUGUUAUAGCCGAUGCCGCAUAUCAAAGCUCAGUUCUUUUGGUUCUUAUUAUUUUGCUUUUGGUCGGAUGGGCAAUCAAGCAAGCAGUAAAUGUUAUACAGAACGUCUUUUUGUCAGGCUGUGUAUCUAUCAGCUGUGCUUUUGGUUGGUAAGGUUGGUUUGAAGCAGACUGCUACCUUGAUUAUACCAGCUUUGUCAGCAAAUAUAUAGGGUGAAGACUGCUGCAGAUGCAUGUGUGGAUUACGACAUCAACAAAAAACAGAAGCCAUGAUACUGAUACAGAAAUGUGCCCCUGUAGCCGAACUUCUAUCUUCCUGGGCGGCAUUGAGUUCAUUAUUUGUUAAACAAUGAACAUCGUUGAAGCAGCUUUCACAUCUUUGGUGCAUCAUCCUGACUAGAUAAUGUUGACUGACUUAGAAACGGGAAAGGAUUUAACAACGCUUAUGGGUUCUUCUAUAUUUAGAGUGUGGAUUUGUUGCUCCUUUUGUUGGUCCUAGCCUGACUGGUAGCAAAGUACAAGUGCAGUUGUACAUUGUUCCAUAUAGACAGGAUGAAGAUGCUUUCCCUUUUUUUUUUUUUUGGGUGCUAAAUUGUUGAAGAUGCUUUCUAAGCUUGUGAACCUGUAUGAUUCAUUGCCUCACAGGAACUGCAGCUUUUGCAAGAGCCCUUAGUGUAGUAGUAGUAGUUUCUAAAUAGGUUAAAACCAAACCGAUCGAGUAUGCUUAAUUUUCGGUUUGUUGUUUAUUAGACUCAGUUUGGCUCAAUUUUGAUGUAAAAAGAAUUUGAUUUUCA
Molecule: RNA transcript, 1530 nt
Organism: Diospyros lotus (date-plum)
Lineage: Eukaryota; Viridiplantae; Streptophyta; Magnoliopsida; Ericales; Ebenaceae
Gene name: CDP-diacylglycerol--inositol 3-phosphatidyltransferase 1-like
Exons: 12
Source: RefSeq, a predicted model, not a curated record